ACACCGCCCGUCGUUCCACCCGAGCGACUCUUGGGUGAGGCGUGGUCUUUAUUGGCUGUGUCGAAUCUGAGUUUCGUAAGGGGGGAAAAGUCGUAACAAGGUGGCCGUAGGGGAACCUGCGGCCGGAUCACCUCCUAAGAAA
This 142-nucleotide ribosomal RNA is filed under the name Candidatus Bathyarchaeota archaeon. Its description in RNAcentral is "partial 16S ribosomal RNA". It matches the Rfam family "Archaeal small subunit ribosomal RNA", at positions 1343 to 1478 of the family's 1478-position model. The record is from RNAcentral. Lineage: Archaea; Thermoproteati; Candidatus Bathyarchaeota.